Molecule: ribosomal RNA, 468 nt
Filed under: uncultured bacterium
Lineage: Bacteria
Description: partial 16S ribosomal RNA
Rfam family: Bacterial small subunit ribosomal RNA
Source: RNAcentral
GACGAACGCUGGCGGCGUGCUUAACACAUGCAAGUCGAACGGAAAGGCCCUGCUUUUGUGGGGUGCUCGAGUGGCGAACGGGUGAGUAACACGUGAGUAACCUGCCCUUGACUUUGGGAUAACUUCAGGAAACUGGGGCUAAUACCGGCUAGGAGCUCCUGAUGCAUGGUGGGGGUUGGAAAGUUUCGGCGGUUGUGGAUGGACUCGCGGCUUAUCAGCUUGUUGGUGGGGUAGUGGCUUACCAAGGCUUUGACGGGUAGCCGGCCUGGGAGGGUGACCGGCCACAUUGGGACUGAGAUACGGCCCAGACUCCUACGGGAGGCAGCAGUGGGGAAUAUUGCACAAUGGGCGGAAGCCUGAUGCAGCAACGCCGCGUGCGGGAUGACGGCCUUCGGGUUGUAAACCGCUUUCGCCUGUGACGAAGCGUGAGUGACGGUAAUGGGUAAAGAAGCACCGGCUAACUACGUG